RNAcentral lists this ribosomal RNA (373 nucleotides) under uncultured bacterium. Its description in RNAcentral is "bacterial SSU rRNA". It matches the Rfam family "Bacterial small subunit ribosomal RNA", at positions 525 to 896 of the family's 1533-position model. The record is from RNAcentral.
ACGAAGGUGGCAAGCGUUACUCGGAAUUACUAGGCGUAAAGCGCAGGUAGGUGGUUGUGUAAGUCUGCUGUGAAAGCUCCCGGCUUAACUGGGAGAGGUCAGCGGAUACUGCAUAGCUAGAGUGUGGGAGAGGGUACUGGAAUUCCCGGUGUAGCGGUGAAAUGCGCAGAGAUCGGGAGGAACACCAAAGGCGAAAGCAGGUACCUGGACCAUUACUGACACUAAGCUGCGAAAGCUAGGGGAGCAAACAGGAUUAGAUACCCUGGUAGUCCUAGCUGUAAACGAUGCACAUUAGACGUGAGGGGUUUUGACCCCCCUCGUGUCGACGCAAACGCAUUAAAUGUGCCGCCUGGGGAGUACGGCCGCAAGGUUG